AUGCGGGUGUAUUACUCAACAUCCUUAAUCAGACCUUAUUGAGGAACCUUUUGAGCAGAAUGGGCUACUCGACUUGAAGAAAAUUCUAACUGGGCCCCACCUGCAAGGUCAUGCGUUGUAUAUCUUGAUAUGAGAUCACCAUAUCAUACACAU
Octopus sinensis (East Asian common octopus) is the source of this 153-nucleotide long non-coding RNA. RefSeq lists it as uncharacterized. The record is from RefSeq and is a predicted model, not a curated record. The transcript is spliced from 3 exons. NCBI's taxonomy places the organism in Eukaryota, Metazoa, Mollusca, Cephalopoda, Octopoda, Octopodidae.